RNAcentral lists this ribosomal RNA (883 nucleotides) under uncultured archaeon. RNAcentral's name for it is "bacterial SSU rRNA". It matches the Rfam family "Archaeal small subunit ribosomal RNA", at positions 18 to 907 of the family's 1478-position model. The record is from RNAcentral.
CGGAGCCACUGCUAUCAGGGUUCGCCUAAGCCAUGCAAGUCGAGAGGGGUAAGCCCUCGGCACACGGCUCAGUAACAUGCGGUCAAUCUGCCCUAAGGUGGGGGAUAACCUCGGGAAACUGAGGAUAAUACCCCAUAGGUCAAGGGUACUGGAAUGUCCUUUGGCCAAAAGACUUGUCGCCUUAGGAUGAGACUGCAGCCUAUCAGGUAGAUAGUGAGGUAACGGCUCACCAUGCCUACGACGGGUACGGGUUCUGAGAGGAAUAGCCCGGAGUUGGGGACUGAGACAAGACCCCAGGCCCUACGGGGCGCAGCAGGCGCGAAACCUUCACAAUCCUCGAAAGAGGGAUGAGGGGACCCUGAGUGCCUGUCUUCUAGGCAGGCUUUUCCUGAGUCUAAAAAGCUCGGGGAAUAAGGGCUGGGCAAGACCGGUGCCAGCAGCCGCGGUAAUCCCGGCAGCCCGAGUGGUGGCCACUGUUACUGGGCUUGAAGCGUCAGUAGCUGGACUGUUCCGUCUCUGGUUAAAUCCCAGGGCUUGACUCUGGGACUGCUGGAGAUACCAACAGUCUUGGGACCGGGAGGGGAUGGGAGUAUUUGACGGGUAGGGGUAAAAUCCGUUAAUCCGUCAAAGACUACCGGUAGCGAAGGCGCCCAUCUGGAACGGGUCCGACGGUGAGUGACGAGAGCCAGGGGAGCAAAAGGGAUUAGAUACCCCUGUAGUCCUGGCUGUAAACAAUGCGGACUGGGUGCAGCGUACCCUUCGUGGAGUACGCGGUGCCGAAGGGAAACCGUUAAGUCCGCCGCCUGGGGAGUACGGCCGCAAGGUUGAAACUUAAAGGAAUUGGCGGGGGGGCACCACAAGGGGUGAAGCGUGCGGUUCAAUU